This 594-nucleotide ribosomal RNA is filed under the name Rhodotorula mucilaginosa. Its description in RNAcentral is "eukaryotic LSU rRNA". It matches the Rfam family "Eukaryotic large subunit ribosomal RNA", at positions 47 to 657 of the family's 3401-position model. Lineage: Eukaryota; Fungi; Basidiomycota; Microbotryomycetes; Sporidiobolales; Sporidiobolaceae. The record is from RNAcentral.
UAAGCGGAGGAAAAGAAACUAACAAGGAUUCCCCUAGUAGCGGCGAGCGAAGCGGGAAGAGCUCAAAUUUAUAAUCUGGCACCUUCGGUGUCCGAGUUGUAAUCUCUAGAAAUGUUUUCCGCGCUGGACCGCACACAAGUCUGUUGGAAUACAGCGGCAUAGUGGUGAGACCCCCGUAUAUGGUGCGGACGCCCAGCGCUUUGUGAUACAUUUUCGAAGAGUCGAGUUGUUUGGGAAUGCAGCUCAAAUUGGGUGGUAAAUUCCAUCUAAAGCUAAAUAUUGGCGAGAGACCGAUAGCGAACAAGUACCGUGAGGGAAAGAUGAAAAGCACUUUGGAAAGAGAGUUAACAGUACGUGAAAUUGUUGGAAGGGAAACGCUUGAAGUCAGACUUGCUUGCCGAGCAAUCGGUUUGCAGGCCAGCAUCAGUUUUCCGGGAUGGAUAAUGGUAGAGAGAAGGUAGCAGUUUCGGCUGUGUUAUAGCUCUCUGCUGGAUACAUCUUGGGGGACUGAGGAACGCAGUGUGCCUUUGGCGGGGGUUUCGACCUCUUCACACUUAGGAUGCUGGUGGAAUGGCUUUAAACGACCCGUCUUGG